This 305-nucleotide ribosomal RNA is filed under the name uncultured bacterium. Its description in RNAcentral is "bacterial SSU rRNA". It matches the Rfam family "Bacterial small subunit ribosomal RNA", at positions 336 to 658 of the family's 1533-position model. The record is from RNAcentral.
UUCCUACGGGGCGCAGCAGUGGGGAGUAUUGCACAAUGGGGGAAACCCUGAUGCAGCGACGCCGCGUGAGCGAUGAAGUAUUUCGGUAUGUAAAGCUCUAUCAGCAGGGAAGAAAAUGACGGUACCUGACUAAGAAGCCCUGGCUAACUACGUGCUAGCAGCCGCGGUAAUACGUAGGUGGCGAGCGUUAUCCGGAAUGAUUGGGCGUAAAGGGUGCGCAGGCGGUCCUGCAAGUCUGGAGUGAAACGCAUGAGCUCAACUCAUGCAUGGCUUUGGAAACUGGAGGACUGGAGAGCAGGAGAGGG